GAUGAACGCUAGCUACAGGCUUAACACAUGCAAGUCGAGGGGCAGCAUUUUAGUUUGCUUGCAAACUGAAGAUGGCGACCGGCGCACGGGUGAGUAACACGUAUCCAACCUGCCGAUAACUCCGGAAUAGCCUUUCGAAAGAAAGAUUAAUACCGGAUAGCAUACGAAUAUCGCAUGAUAUUUUUAUUAAAGAAUUUCGGUUAUCGAUGGGGAUGCGUUCCAUUAGUUUGUUGGCGGGGUAACGGCCCACCAAGACUACGAUGGAUAGGGGUUCUGAGAGGAAGGUCCCCCACAUUGGAACUGAGACACGGUCCAAACUCCUACGGGAGGCAGCAGUGAGGAAUAUUGGUCAAUGGGCGAGAGCCUGAACCAGCCAAGUAGCGUGAAGGAUGAAGGCUCUAUGGGUCGUAAACUUCUUUUAUAUGGGAAUAAAGUUUUCCACGUGUGGAAUUUUGUAUGUACCAUAUGAAUAAGGAUCGGCUAACUCCGUG
Molecule: ribosomal RNA, 491 nt
Filed under: uncultured bacterium
Lineage: Bacteria
Description: bacterial SSU rRNA
Rfam family: Bacterial small subunit ribosomal RNA
Source: RNAcentral